AUGAUUUUGAUGAAGAGUAUAUGGGGGGGCGUGGUGUAUGUGUUACUGGGAGCACUUCAGAUCUUUGGGACGGUGGGAGGACCUGAGAGGGAGGAACAAAAGUGGUUUUGUUUGAGGAUGCCUAGUGGACCCGGCAUCUGCCGAAGCCCUCACCCGGGAACACAGGGAGCUGUUUGCUUGUUUACAACAAAGACCGCAUGCCCUGCUGCGCCUGCUGCUAACCAAGAGGAACAGCGGCUUCUUAAAUCCUUGCCUACGAUGGUCCAGCAAGCCCAGACGUCCUGUCGCCUUCUCACCUCCUCUGCUGAGAGCUACAGAUCUUCCGAUGACAGACAAGGAGGGGAUGUGCGAAUGGUGUGGCAACCUGAUGCAGUAAGAUUUAUUAGCAAUCCAAUCGAAACAGGAAGAGCUGUGUACAGACAGGAGAAUCAGCUUGCUCAAGGUUACCCACCUGGUAAGUGAAGUAAGUAAAGCCAACUCUAUGACCCGAGACUUGUUCUUGUCCCAGGCUGCUAUACCUCCUGGAAUCAUUAACUCAUGGGUUUUUAAAAAAAUUAUUUAACAAUUUCAUAUAUGUAUAUAUUUUUGUCAUUUUCAUCUCUAUGGGUUUUGUCUUUCUUAAAGAUUGGGUGUUAAUUCCCAAGGUCACUUCUAGUCAUCAUUAAAAGUUAAUUUUGGUGGUACAUGCCUUUAAUCCUAGCACUCGGGAGGCAGAGGCAGGUGGAUCUCUGUGAGUUUGAGACCAGACUGGUCUACAAGAGCUAGUUCCAGGACAGCCUCCAAAGCCACAGAGAAACCCUGUCUUGAAAAACCAAAACCAAACAAACAAACAAACAAAAAACCCACAAAAAGUUAAUUUUAAGUUAAAAAACCAAAAAGAAAGGCUGUUUGGAUGGCUCAGUUGGUUAAGGCACUUACUAGCAAACCUGGUGACUGAAGUUCAAUUCCCAUGAUCUCCAUGGAAGAAGAGAGAACAGAACUCCAGAGAGC
This 990-nucleotide long non-coding RNA is filed under the name Cricetulus griseus (Chinese hamster). Its description in RNAcentral is "lncRNA (ENSCGRG00000026441.1)". The record is from RNAcentral. Lineage: Eukaryota; Metazoa; Chordata; Mammalia; Rodentia; Cricetidae.